RNAcentral lists this ribosomal RNA (490 nucleotides) under uncultured bacterium. RNAcentral describes it as "partial 16S ribosomal RNA". It matches the Rfam family "Bacterial small subunit ribosomal RNA", at positions 30 to 507 of the family's 1533-position model. The record is from RNAcentral.
AUUGAACGCUGGCGGCAGGCCUAACACAUGCAAGUCGAACGGUAACAGGAAGCUGCUUUCUGCUUCGCUGGCGAGUGGCGGGCGGGUGAGUAAUGUCUGGGAAGCUGCCUGAUGUAGGGGGACAUCUACUGGAAACGGUAGCUACUACCGCAUAAUGUCGCAAGACUAAAGGGGGGGACCUUCGUGCCUCUUGCCAUCGUAUGUGCCCGGCUGUGUUUAGUUUGUUGGUGGGGUAACGGCUCACCAAGGCGACGAUCGCUAGCUGGUCUGAGAGGAUGACAGCCGACACGGGGACGGAGGCAGGGUCCAGACUCCUGCGGGAGGCAGCAGUGGGGAAUAUUGCACAAUGGUGGCGAGCCUGAUGCAGCCAUGCGGCGUGUAUGAAGAAGGCCCUCGGGUUGUGAAGUACUUUCGGCGGGUAGGAAGGGAGUAAAGUUAAUACCGUUGCUCAUUGACGUUACCCGCAGAAGAAGCACCGGCUAACUCCGUG